This 431-nucleotide long non-coding RNA is filed under the name Mytilus galloprovincialis (Mediterranean mussel). The record is from RNAcentral. Lineage: Eukaryota; Metazoa; Mollusca; Bivalvia; Mytilida; Mytilidae.
UAGUCUUGUAUAACAUAUAAAAAAGAAGAUGUGGUAUGAUUGCCAAUGAGACAACUAUCCACAAAAGACCAAAAUGACACAAUCAUUAACAAUUAUAGGUAACCGUACGGCCUUCAAGAAUGAGCAGAGCCCAUACAACAUAGUAAGCUAUAAAAGGCCCCGAUAAAAAAAUGUAAAACAAUUCAAACAAAAAACUAAAGGCCCUAUUUAUGUAAAAAAAAAUGAACGAAAAACAAAUAUAUAACGCAUAAACAAAUGACAACCACUGAAUUACAGGCUCCUGACUUGGGACAGGCACAUACAUAAAUAAUGUAACGGGGUUAAACAUGUUAGCGGGAUUCGAACCCUUCCCUAACCUGGGACAGUGGUACAACAUAUAUACUGUAUGAUAACCAGAAUAAGGAAUGUGGUAUGAAUUCCAAUAAGACAAC